RNAcentral lists this non-coding RNA (187 nucleotides) under Alicyclobacillus dauci. RNAcentral's name for it is "6S RNA". It matches the Rfam family "6S / SsrS RNA". From Rfam's summary of the family: E. coli 6S RNA was the first non coding RNA to be sequenced, but its function was unknown until recently. It consists of 184 nucleotides that fold into an extended hairpin structure with a large single-stranded internal bulge. Lineage: Bacteria; Bacillati; Bacillota; Bacilli; Caryophanales; Alicyclobacillaceae. The record is from RNAcentral.
GAUGCCCUGCGGUGUUGGUGAGGCCCGCAGCGUUUUGUUCCAACACUUAUUUGAUUGGGAGUCCGGACGUCACCGGGGAAGUAGCAAAUGCCCGUCUCAGAGCGGGACUUGUGAAGUUACUGGGCAGGACACCCACCUGCGCGAGCAGGAUCAAAACCUUGGGUUGCACGGCAAUUGCGGGGCGUCG